ACGGGGUGCAGCAGGCGCGAAAACUUUACACUACACGAAAGUGUGAUAAGGGGAUUCCAAGUGUACUUAUACCAUAAGUACUUUUUCGGAGUUUAAAACGCUCCGGGAAUAAGGGGUGGGCAAGACUAGUGCCAGCCGCCGCGGUAAAACUAGCAUCUCGAGUGGCAGUCACAUUUAUUGGGCUUAGAGCGUCCGUAGCUCGUCUGGAAAGUCUUUGGUGAAAUCCUGCGGCUUAACCGUAGGGCGCGCCGGAGAAACUACCAGGCUUGAAGGCAGGAGAGGCAGGGGGUACGUCUGGGGUAGGGGUGAAAUCCUAUAAUCCUAGACGGACCAACAGUGGCGAAGGCGCCCUGCAUGAAUGCGCUUGACAGUGAGGGACGAGAGCCAAGAGCGCGAAACGGAUUAGAUACCCGUGUAGUCUUGGCCGUAAACGAUGCCGACUAGGUGGGGUGUGACCUUAGUGGUCAUGCUAUGCCGAAGGGAAACCGUUAAGUCAGCCGCCUGGGGAGUACGACCGCAAGGUUGAAACUUAAAGGAAUUGGCGGGGGAGCAC
This 553-nucleotide ribosomal RNA is filed under the name uncultured archaeon. Its description in RNAcentral is "bacterial SSU rRNA". It matches the Rfam family "Archaeal small subunit ribosomal RNA", at positions 325 to 879 of the family's 1478-position model. The record is from RNAcentral.